CAGGCACUGGGGGUUAUUCUGUAUGUUGGUAAAUUGAACACCAAUAAAAAAAAAAAAAAAAAAAAAGAAACCUUAAGGAGAAUUUGGAGUGUUACAGGAAGAAACAGGAUGUCACUGCCAAGCAUUUGCCAUCUUUUUUGCCCUCCCACUCCUGCACUCUCCUCUCUAUUUCUCAGGAACAAAGGCCUUAUCUUACAAGGAUGAUUUCUUCUCUUUCUUUUAAGCCAUGAAACCCACCUCAAGUGGACUUAUUAUGGCAAUUUCUGAAUAAAGAAGGCCCUCUUCCUAAGGAUAAACAGUAUUGCUGCUUACAAGAAAGCUUGAGUUACAACAUUCUUCUUGAACACUGAUGGAAAUGUCUAACUAAGCUGGGCUACUGUUCCUCAGAGAUGCCUGCUCUUGAGAGUCAGCUGAAUUCUCAGAAUGAAGUUCUGGUCAUCAGAAUUCAAGAGUUUCCUGUAUUUGCUGAGUUCUCUCCAGGAGGCACCUCAGAUCCUCCCAACACCAUGAUGUUUGGGGGAACCUCAAGUCACUCCAUGGAACUAGAGAGAUGGUGAAAAGGAAAGCAUGGAAGAUGAAGCUGAAGAAAUGAGGAGCCAGGUCAUAAGUGUAACUGUGAAGAUAAAACACACUAAUAAUAAUCAGGAAGGUUGAAAAAAUGUUAAACAUCUGCAACAAUGCAAGCUAUUCCACAACUGUAUUUUAUAACAUCUCUUUGAAAUAGCUGAAUAAGUUCCUUCCUUUCCUCAGCAUGAUGCCUACAGCUUAAGGUUGGUACAAAGCUUCACAGAACAGAGAUAGAUAGUUAGGAAUCUGAAAACAGCAUUUCUCAAGGUAUGUUCUAGGAACACUAGUCCAGUCAUAUAUUCCAUUAAGUGAAAUAAAAAACAGAAAGUGUAAGUGGUCAAAUAAUAUGUCAAUAUGUAUAUUAGUGCAAUAAAACUUACAAACUGAAAAUUUUUGCAAUAAAUAAAUAUUUACACAUGACUCAUGUUGAGUUUUCUUACCACAAAGAAAUAAAACCAAAGGACACAAGGAAACUCUUGGGGGUACUGGAUAUGUCCAUUACCAUGAUUAUAGUAAGGAUGUGAUGGCAGUUUGCCUAUGCUCAGACUCAUCCAGUUUUGCACAUUAAAGAUGUUCAAUCCUUCUUAUAUCAGUUAUACUUAUUAAAAAAUGUUUUUAAAAAGAGAAAUACUUGGACCCCCUGGCUAACUCAGUCAGAACAGCAUGUGACCCUUGAUCCUAGGAUGGUGGGUCUGAGCCCUGUACUGGGUGUAGAGAUUAAAGGAAAGAAAAAAAGGAAGGAAGGAAGGAAGGAAGGAAGGAAGGAAGGAAGGAAGGAAGGAAGGAAGGAAGGAAGAAAAGAAAAGAAGAAAAGAAAAAAAAAAGAAAGACAAAGAUAAGGGAAAAAAGAAAAGAGAACAAAAACGGGAAGGAAAGGAAAAGAAAGAAAGAACGAAAAGGAAAGAGGAAAGGAAAGAAAAAAGGGGGAAAAACAGGAAAAAAAGGAAGGAAGGAGGAAGGAAGAAAAGAAAAAAAGAAAGAAAG
Molecule: long non-coding RNA, 1551 nt
Filed under: Canis lupus familiaris (dog)
Lineage: Eukaryota; Metazoa; Chordata; Mammalia; Carnivora; Canidae
Description: lncRNA (ENSCAFG00845006229.1)
Source: RNAcentral